GUGGGGCUCCCCGGGUGGGAGGAAGAGAGGGGAGACUCGGAGGCUCUCCUGGCUGAAGAGCUGCGCGCACGGUGUCACACCCAGAGGGCGGAGCACCGCCGGACAAGCGCCCUGUGUCUGGGUCUGUUUCACCGCCAGGUCUGCGGCCGCCUGGGCGGCUCCAGCCACGGGACUCGAGUCAAUCACACAAUGGCAGAAACUCGUGUCAAGAGCCUGCAGCCCCCACACUGAUGGAUGCCUCCAAUCUCAGCAGCAGAAUGUGUACGGAAUCGAUGCCGAUGAAAACAGUUUCAGUAAAAUUACAAAAGAAUGAAAAACAUGGACAUUUGUUUAACUGUACUACAGGGGAAAAACAAAAAUCUGAUCAAAGAAUUAAGUUGGAUGAAUAGAGUUCAAGCUGGAGAACACCUUCUUAAAACAUUUUCAGGGUUAGUAUGUUUUGGUUUAAAAUGUUUGCAUUCAAAACAUCCUUCGGGUCAAAAUAUCCGUAGUGGUUAAAAUAUCCUGUGUCCCUCUGAUCUGUUUCCUAUAACUCCCCACCUUCCAGCCACACUGGGCUCUUUCUGUCCCUGGAGCACAGCG
This 582-nucleotide long non-coding RNA is filed under the name Homo sapiens (human). RNAcentral's name for it is "HSALNT0389805". The record is from RNAcentral. Lineage: Eukaryota; Metazoa; Chordata; Mammalia; Primates; Hominidae.